CAGGAUUUCCCCACUGGGUUACUCCAUCUGGUCUCUGUGUGUAUGUCCAGCAACUCCCACUGCAUGAGCCACCCUUCAGUGUUCAUCUAAAACACCAAUCUGAUCAUACUUCUCAUCAGCUUAGAUCAUUUCAAGUUUUCCUAGGGGCAGAGCAUAACAUCUGAGUUAACCUGAGCUAACAUCUGUGCCAAUUUUCCUCUGUUUUGUAUGUGAGUCACCACCACAGCAUGGCCUGCAACAAAUUGCGUAGGUCUGCGCCCAGGGACCAAAGCCAGACCACCGAAGCAGAGUGCACCAAACUUAACUACAAGGCCAUGGGGCCAGCCCCAAGAAUAAAAACAAGGCAAAAGCAAGAGGAAGUAUACAGCUCAGGGAACACCCAGGGCCUUGGAUCCUUGCUCAUCUGAGUUCAGGCGCUGGUUUAGCUGCCUCACAAUGGGUUGGCAGUUGAAGCUGCCAACAUGGUCUGUGGAUGUGGAGAAACAGGACAGGGCACUGAAGGGCUUCAGUCGUCUUGAGCUGAUCUUAGCACAGCAAACAUUUACCAAUGAAGAAAUUAAAGGGGAAGGUUAUUCUAUUUACGAAAACACCCUUCAAGCAGCCUCAAGCACUUAGAAGAAUCAUUUAAUCAUAACAAUAGAUAUUCUGGUUAUUAAUACAUAUUUUACAUUAAUACUACAGUUGCCAUAAUUUGGGGUGCUUUGCCAGCCUGUCCCUCUUUAUAUGGAACUUCCCU
Molecule: long non-coding RNA, 736 nt
Filed under: Equus caballus (horse)
Lineage: Eukaryota; Metazoa; Chordata; Mammalia; Perissodactyla; Equidae
Description: lncRNA (ENSECAG00000045785.1)
Source: RNAcentral